Molecule: long non-coding RNA, 3388 nt
Organism: Maylandia zebra (zebra mbuna)
Lineage: Eukaryota; Metazoa; Chordata; Actinopteri; Cichliformes; Cichlidae
Source: RefSeq, a predicted model, not a curated record
AGACAGGGCACGAUGCUUUUUCUAACUCUUGCUUCCAUUUAUAACUGUAACAUGUUACUAAUUUUUCUAUUUUAAGCACAGUGCGUAUGAAAAAGAAGACUACCAGUUUUCUAGAUGAUAUUCAUUAUGACCUGCUUGUAUGCACGAAAUUCUAAUAUAAAUCUACACAUUUGUCAUCCAUUGACAUAUGUACUGAAGGAUCGGAGCUAAUGGAUGAGGAAUAAAGACGGGCUUAUUAAGGUACUAGUUUUGGCACAGGGAACAUUUCUAAGCUUCCUCGGUGGGCAGCUUAAUACCGCCUCCCAGUUUCAUUUAGAGUCAGACAUGCAGAGAUUGUAGGAUGCCUGUCUGUCAUUUCACAAACUACAUAUACGGCCGCUGUACUCGUCAAUGCAGGUGUGUGUUCUGUGAGGGCUGUCCCGAUCUGUCGCCAAACUCUCGGAUAGUUGAGGGAACUGAACCGGCUGAGGCGCGCAGAACUAUUACUUUUACUGUUUGGGGAACGUUUAGAAGUCGAAGCAGUGACCGAAAGCAAAUAAAGACCUUCAGGGAUGGAGGUAGGAUAGCAGAGUGGGUUAUCUCCCGCCCGGCACCGAGUGUUUCCAUUCACGACCGCGGGACUAUCACAGAGCCACAUCUAGUCUUGUUAAACUACUGUUCUGGUUUUGGUUUAACAUAGUAAAUAUCGGCUUCAUUGUUAGUGCUUCUGAUACGUAUUCGUGUAAUCAUUCACAAAAGCAAAUGGUAGUUCCGCUGCGGUGAAACGGCGUGGACACGCAUGUUUCUAACUGUCCAGCUCUGUGUUGUCUGUAACUCCAGUGACGCGAUCGAGCAAUAAUCUGAGUUUAUGCAUGUGGAGCUCCACCUCACUGCUACUGUGGCCCUCAGCGGAGCUGGGAGCGUGUCGUCACGGUGGAGGCAGGCUGCUGUGCCCGACCCUCGGGCCUCUCUCCUUCUUUAACCGAGUUUUCUUUAAUGUCUCAGUUUCCUCGCGCCUCGUGUACCCGCUGGUACUGUAGUACUGAGUGAUGCCGAGGGGACGCUGGUGGUUUCUGCUCAGUUUGUUUCCGAGCAGCUCCAUUUCAAACAAAGGCUGACAGCGAGCGACGCGGCGCAGGGUGUUCUACAGGUACACGCUAAUUCAAACAGCUGGCGCGCGAGCCGUGCCCGUGAAGCUGUGCAUGUCUGUCUGCAAGCCGACUCGCGCGCUCCACGAGGGGUGGAAGCCUUCCUUUCGUCUAACCAGGUGCCAUUCUAGGUUCAAACUCUUAGGGGGGCUCAGCUCCCAAUCAUAAUGUGCUGUUCAUAAUAUGCUCUUUGCAAAUGUAAUCAGCCCUUCUUACAUCAGCAGACCUCAGGUCAAUUGAAUAAUCAUUACACCUUCAAAAGCAGCCUAAUUAGUUGGAUAACCUAGUGUAGUGUCUAAGAAUAAUUCAGAGUAAGUAGAAAUUUCAGUCUAAUCCACUCGUUUUAAUGUGGAGCCUUUAGUUAUCAAACCCAAGGCAAAGGCUCAGUGUUUUAAGAACUAUUUAUGGCAAUCAGAUAAGAUGAGAGACAUGGAGAUUAUUUCAGUCUCUUAACUACACAGAGGCAGUCCAACAACUCAUCAAGCACUUAAACUAGCACACAGACACUGGAAAACCACUCCAAAGACCUGGAGUGGCAGGGUGCAAACGCGCGUUUUAUUAUGCAAACUCAGCACAGAGCAUCAUGUACCCCAAUUUCACGAGUGAAGAAUAGAUUUGUAGUCCUGUUCAGCCAUGUUUAGAAGGAAUCCUGUGAAAUGCUGCAUUCAUGUAAAUAUGCUCUGUUUAGAGCGUGCUACUGGAAAGCAGAGUGAGCGUUCAUGAAAGGCACCGAAAACUACUUUGUUAAAAAUAACUUUUGUUUUUCCAGCCAACUGCAACUUAAAGCGUCGAAGCACUGUGUUUGUAAACGAUAACUGGCAUCCCAUUUCCACAGAGGUGAGGACAGGAGGGAAAAACCCGAAAGGUUUUGCGCUCAUACUGACAAAAAUAUUCACUUUGAGUAUUUGUUUUCUAUUUGUUUUAGGCAUAGAUAAAUAAUGAUGAUGCGGUAAUUAGUCUUUUGUCUAAUCUUUUGGUUUGUGGUGAUGAGAGGCUUUCUCUGUGGUGUUUCCUUAUUAUUUUGAGGAAAGCUGAAAUGUGGAGAUCACGGUUGUUGUUUUCAAGGCAAACUGCCAUGGCUGCCAUACCCUCUGUGUAGGUGACUUAAUGAAAUUGUACUUCAGAUACUUCAUUAUCUGACAGUUUGUAUCACUAUUGUAAUUUUAUAUAAAGUCACCCAGCUGUACAGCUAAAAAAAAAAAAAUUAAUAAAUUUUUGAUUUGCUUUUUCUCAUUGCUUUUUUAUUCCUAGUAUUUUUUUUUUGUUUGUUUUUUUUGUUUCUACACAAAAACAAAGAACUAUAUUGAGAACAUGCAUCUUAGGUCAUACAAAUGCCUACUAAACCAGUUAAAACCAUGUGAAAUGGUCAUUUUAUUUUGUUUUAAUUCAUCAUGGCAUGACUUUGCAGAGAAAUUGCAAAAGGCAGUCUUCCUUCAGUGGAAGGAUAAGAUGAUGUGGUUUAAAAAUGCCAUGUGGCUGCUUUCCUCCUCCACUUUCAUGGCAUGUAUGUUUUUUGUUUCUGGACUAUGAUGAGCAAACCUGGAUGCAGCUGGAGAAGCUUCAGCUUAAGUGGUUAUUGUUGGCAUUACUGUGAUUCUUAUAGGAGGUGUGCUGAUUUGAGAUUUCUCAGAGAGUUUGCAGAAUUGUCAUUAGACUAAAAGAGUUUAAUGAUUGCCCACAUUACACUGAACUCUUGCAAGUCUAGAAAAGGAGCUGUUGGACAGACAUCAGUUGAGUGAACGCAAGGAGAGAUGAGUCCUCCGUCACAGAUGGUGUGGUCAGUGAAGAUGGUCACCUGCAUCUUCAAGGUCAUUGGAUCUCCAACCCACAUCCACUGCCACUGUACGGGGAUGUUGGGACAAUGUUAAAGACUUUCUUCAGGCACUUAUAUUUGAAUCACCUAAAUCUAUGACAGUCAUUUUGAAAGUAAUGCCAGGACCUUCACAUCCUUAAAGUAUUACAAGCUUGUGUGUUUAAAUGCACAACAAAUGUGGUGUUAGAGCUACAGACUACACUGAACAUUUGAUAGAUAGACAGAAAUUGAAACUAGGACUUUGUUUCAUUAUACGGUUAUUAAAGCUUUAAAUUGUGUAACAAAUAAAUAUGAAAUUUACAUUUGGUAAUAUUUAAAAUAAAAUUCAAUAACACAGGCUACUAUAGCGGCAGUAUACUUGUUUGUUGUUCAGCAGAACAGUGUCCAGUAUGUUGGCUGAUAUACUUUUUUGCGUUUGAAAAUAAAAGUUGGGCUGAUUUUAACUACA